AAAAAAUCCGCUGUACAAUCCGAAGACGUGAUGCGGACCGAAUUAAGAGUAGGGAAGUGUGUGAGCCAUGCGUCAAGAAAAGCCGCUAUUGUUUUACUUAAGCCCGUACCGUAAACCGACAUAGGUGGAUGAGGAGAGAAUCCUAAGGCCGACGGGAGAAGCAUUGUUAAGGAACUCGGCAAAAUGACUCCGUAACUUCGGGAGAAGGAGUGCCAGCGAGAGCUGGCCGCAGAGAAUUGGCCCAAGCAACUGUUUAGCAAAAACACAGGUCUAUGCAAAACCGUAAGGUGAAGUAUAUGGGCUGACGCCUGCCCGGUGCUGGAAGGUUAAGAGGAGAGGUUAGCGGCAACGCGAAGCUUUGAAUUUAAGCCCCAGUAAACGGCGGCCGUAACUAUAACGGUCCUAAGGUAGCGAAAUUCCUUGUCGGGUAAGUUCCGACCCGCACGAAAGGCGUAAUGAUUUGGGCACUGUCUCAACAAUGCACCCGGUGAAAUUGAAAUACCAGUGAAGAUGCUGGUUACCUGCGCCAGGACGGAAAGACCCCAUGGAGCUUUACUCCAGCUUGAUACUGGGAUUCGGUAUUGCAUGUACAGGAUAGGUGGGAGGCUAGGAAGUGAUAACUCCAGUUGUCACGGAGCCGCUGUUGGGAUACCACCCUUGCAGUAUUGGAUUUCUAACCAGCGACAUGAACUGGUCGGGGGACAAUGUCAGGUGGGGAGUUUGACUGGGGCGGUCGCCUCCGAAAGGGUAUCGGAGGCGCUCAAAGGUUCCCUCAGAAUGGACGGAAACCAUUCGAAGAGUGCAAAGGCAGAAGGGAGCUUGACUGCGACACCGACGGGUGGAGCAGGUACGAAAGUAGGACUUAGUGAUCCGGUGGUAUAAAGUGGGAUUGCCAUCGCUCAACGGAUAAAAGCUACCCUGGGGAUAACAUGCUUAUCACUCCCAAGAGUUCACAUCGACGGAGUGGUUUGGCACCUCGAUGUCGGCUCAUCGCAUCCUGGGGCUGAAGUAGGUCCCAAGGGUUGGGCUGUUCGCCCAUUAAAGCGGUACGCGAGCUGGGUUCAGAACGUCGUGAGACAGUUCGGUCCCUAUCCGGCGUGGGCGUAGGAUAUUUGAGAGGAGCUGUCCUUAGUACGAGAGGACCGGGAUGGACUGGCCGCUGGUGUAUCUGUUGCAUACCAAAUGCAUGGCAGAGUAGCCAAGCCGGGACGGGAUAAACGCUGAAGGCAUCUAAGCGUGAAGCCCCCCUCAAGAUGAGAUAUCCCUACGUAAGUAGUAAGACCCCUUGAAGACGACGAGGUAGAUAGGUCAGAGGUGGAAGUACAGUAAUGUAUGGAGCUGACUGAUACUAAUCGGUCGAGGGCAUGACC
This 1370-nucleotide ribosomal RNA is filed under the name metagenome. Its description in RNAcentral is "bacterial LSU rRNA". It matches the Rfam family "Bacterial large subunit ribosomal RNA", at positions 1536 to 2925 of the family's 2925-position model. The record is from RNAcentral.